GGCUAGAUAACAUAAUGGUAAUGUAAAGGACUGCAAAUCCUUUAAUGACGGUUCAAAUCCGUCUCUAGCUU
Molecule: transfer RNA, 71 nt
Rfam family: tRNA
About the family: Transfer RNA (tRNA) molecules are approximately 80 nucleotides in length. Their secondary structure includes four short double-helical elements and three loops (D, anti-codon, and T loops).
Source: Rfam